CACAGCUGUUGAGCACUGACAGAAUCCCACUCAUUUCAUUUGCACAAGCAACUCCAAACACUUCUAUCACACACAUGAAAACUGCUGUAAAGAUCCACCACACACCCACCACACCACUGCUGGCACUAAAAGUGCAAUUUCCUACUGAUCACACAAUGUUUCCCCCCUCAAAUCUAUCAAGUGAAGCUUCCCAUAAAAGUACUUUCUAGCACUGGGUCUCAUCUCCCUUCAGCAAGUUAUGAGUAGGGCAAAAAUGAACAUAUUUCCCACGUAAAUUAAAAUUGUUCUUGUGAUUGCAAUAUUUGUGUCCCCAAGAGAAGAAGAGUGUUUGAGGUGGGUGGAUAAACAAAUAUUCUAAUCACAUUCUUUUGAAUGCUGCAAUUUGAUUUCAACAUCAGUUAAAUUUUUUCUUUUUAAUUUCUCCUCUCAGCUCAGUGGGAACUAUAAAAAAAAAAACAACAAAAACAUGUACUUGUAACUUACUGCUUUUCGAUCUGUUAUGAUUUAUUUGCAUGUUUAUUUUCCUUGCUAUAAUGAUUGGCUUAAUGUAUUUUCCUUUUUUUUUAAUUCCUGUUUUCACCAGGCAUUUCAGGGAUCAGCUCCACUUGAUUUCUAGCUGCUGAGUGAUUAACCCAGGGGGAGUCCAUCUGCAAACCCUACAGCCAGCUGGGUUACAUUCCCUCGUGCUUCCAGCCCCACUGGCUGCAUCUUUACCCUGCUGCCAGGCUGGGUUCCAGCUGCUCAUCUCAGAACCCUGGUGAGAGUGGGGGCAACAUCGAGCAGAAGAGCAAGGUUUGCAAGGUUUGGAAGUGAAGAAAUCCUGAGAAAACUACUAUGAGGAACAUGGGAAUGCAAAUAAGAGCAGAAGUCGAAGAAGAGCAAGACCAAGACUACAGAAAUGAACUGAGACAGAGUCACUCAAAUCAUCACAGGCAAAUGCACAAUCUACAUACAGCCAGCAAACAGCUACUUAAAAAUUUCCAAGUAGCUCUGCUGUAUUUGUGAUUGCCUUCUGCAGCUCAGAACCAUAAAAGUUUUACUCAAAGAGAGGAUCUUCAGAGAAGAGGUUGUGCUUGGAGCUUAUCCUUCAACUUCAGCUGCUUAAAAAGAGAUGCCAAAGGUCACUGAAUCACCCUUAACUUGCUACCUCACCUUAAAGCAAAAGGAUUAUCUAUGGCUUAGCUGAACUCUAGGCAGGGAGCUGACACAGACUGCAAAAGAUCCUGUGCAAAUCCUGUAGGGACAGGUGGGUUCAGAAGCAUUAAACUGUUAAUCCAAUAAAAAGGAAGGGACUACAUUCA
RNAcentral lists this long non-coding RNA (1301 nucleotides) under Parus major (Great Tit). Its description in RNAcentral is "lncRNA (ENSPMJG00000017193.1)". The record is from RNAcentral. Lineage: Eukaryota; Metazoa; Chordata; Aves; Passeriformes; Paridae.